RNAcentral lists this ribosomal RNA (468 nucleotides) under uncultured bacterium. RNAcentral describes it as "partial 16S ribosomal RNA". It matches the Rfam family "Bacterial small subunit ribosomal RNA", at positions 28 to 507 of the family's 1533-position model. The record is from RNAcentral.
GACGAACGCUGGCGGCGUGCUUAACACAUGCAAGUCGAACGGAAAGGCCCUGCUUUUGUGGGGUGCUCGAGUGGCGAACGGGUGAGUAACACGUGAGUUACCUGCCCUUGACUUUGGGAUAACUUCAGGAAACUUGGGCUAAUACCGGAUAGGAGCUCCUGCUUCAUGGUGGGGGUUGGAAAGUUUCGGCGGUUGGGGAUGUACUCGCGGCUUAUCAGCUUGUUGGUGGGGUAGUGGCUUACCAAGGCUUUGACGGGUAGCCGGCCUGAGCGGGUGACCGGCCACAUUGGGACUGAGAUACGGCCCAGACUCCUACGGGAGGCAGCAGUGGGGAAUAGUGCACAAUGGGCGGAAGCCUGAUGCAGCAACGCCGCGUGCGGGAUGACGGCCUGCGGGUUGUAAACCGCUUUCGCCUGUGACGAAGCGUGAGUGACGGUAAUGGGUAAAGAAGCACCGGCUAACUACGUG